UACGGGGGGAGCAAGCGUUGUUCGGAUUUACUGGGCGUAAAGGGCGCGUAGGCGGUCGUGACAAGUCACUUGUGAAAUCUCCGGGCUUAACUCGGAACGGUCAAGUGAUACUGUCGGACUAGAGUACAGAAGGGGCAACUGGAAUUCUCGGUGUAGCGGUGAAAUGCGUAGAUAUCGAGAGGAACACCUGCGGCGAAGGCGGGUUGCUGGGCUGUGACUGACGCUGAGGCGCGAAAGCCAGGGGAGCGAACGGG
RNAcentral lists this ribosomal RNA (254 nucleotides) under uncultured bacterium. Its description in RNAcentral is "partial 16S ribosomal RNA". It matches the Rfam family "Bacterial small subunit ribosomal RNA", at positions 524 to 776 of the family's 1533-position model. The record is from RNAcentral.